Molecule: long non-coding RNA, 817 nt
Filed under: Neogale vison (American mink)
Lineage: Eukaryota; Metazoa; Chordata; Mammalia; Carnivora; Mustelidae
Description: Neovison vison (American mink) lncRNA (ENSNVIG00000011290.1)
Source: RNAcentral
CUUCACUUUUGUCCUUUUCCUGUAGCUGGCAGCCCUCAUUCCCUUCCUCUUCUAGCAAAAAACAUUCUAUUCUUUUUCAUUGAGGUUCCCAUGAUCAUAUUAGAGCUGCACACAUUGCAUUGUUGGCAUUUGUCUGUAUAUCAAUGUCUUCCACCUUGAACUCCAUGAAAUCAGGAACAGGCCUGCUUUUUUGUUCCGUUUUUUAAAUUUAUUGAAAGAGCUACGUCACCCCCCCCCAUCAUCUUCCUAUUGUUUUCCUCCCCUUACAACUGCCCUGGUGUUCUUGUAAGCACUAUUCCAAGGAGUUUAGUUUUCCUCAUGGGUGUGGAUGAUUGGGAACAUUUAAAUUUCAGCCAUGACUAGAAGAGGUAAUGAAGAGAUUCAUAAUUGUUAAUGGAUCUUCCGUUAAAGGUUGGUUUCAUGCUUUUCAAAAUGACACAGAAGCUGCUAUUUGUCUUUACAGAAUAUGUCCUGGCUUCUUAGAGAACUGUUGGGUGAAGAUUAUUUCUCUUCAGGAUGAAGAUCUUGCCAAAAUGUUGUAUCCAUGUCCCUGCUAGUAUUACCUACUGUUCCAGAAACCUGGUUUGCGGAUAAAAAGUCACUGAGCCCUUCCGUGCCGUCGGUGGCAGGUCCCAUCAUCAUUCCCAGAUGGAGCUGUGGAUAUUUGAGAGCUGCGCUCCAGGUGUGGAUAUGUGGGGGUGGACUCAAGAGUGUGGGAGCCGUCGUGAUGCCGGGUCAAAGGGACAAGCACUCGAGGAUACCUCGUUAGGAGGACUCCCUGUUUCAGGGCCCCGAGCUGGGGUUCACACCUCCUCAA